This is a non-coding RNA of Nicotiana tabacum (common tobacco), 791 nucleotides long. Lineage: Eukaryota; Viridiplantae; Streptophyta; Magnoliopsida; Solanales; Solanaceae. The record is from RefSeq and is a predicted model, not a curated record.
UAUAGGCACUUGCCACAAUAGCAGAACAUUGCCUUGUCAAAAUAAAAAUAAAAAGCAACAGGCAGAAAACUAUGAUUAGAAUGCCAGUUUACAUUUUUUCUGAAUGCGAAAACUUCUAGACACAUGUUCUUUAUGACGAAUUUCACUCUUGUCUUUGCAGCUUGAUCAUCGUAUACUUGCCGCUGCUACUUUAGCUGCAAUAGGUGGGUUAUGGUGGUCAACCAGGAAGCUGGAUAUGCAUCCUGCUGUCCGACACUUAAUCGGAAGCACCAUGGGCAUGGCUGCUCUGCAGGUAACGUUGGGCAUAUCUACUCUUCUUUCCUAUGUCCCAGUUUCUCUAGGAACUGCUCAUCAAGCAGGAGCUUUGACUCUUUUAACAUUCAUGAUCCUGCUCAAUCACACUGUGCGACGGCCUUCUCCAUCACUUCUAAAGACGUUGCCUUCAGUCGCAAAAAUGAUCUGAUAUUGAUACCAUAAUUUCUUAUAGAGCAUUGACAUUGUCAGGUAUUCUAAAUUGUACCAUUUUGCGAUCCUUGCGCAACUUACAGAAUCAGAAAAAAUGCAUUUCUUUCUGGCCCUCUUGUUCUCAUGAUUUCCAGGGAAGUUUAGAAUGUCUUAUCUUGUAAAGAACCAGCAAUCUUGUAGUUUCAUUGAUACUCGUUGACCGAGUCUUUUAGAAAAUCAGCAGCAAUCAGCUUUAAUAACUGAGUUCAAAUUGGGAUCUCUAUGAAAAUAAACAUUUCUGUAUAUUACAGUCCUAUUGUAAAUUACCAGCAUCCUGGUUUCUUUUA